Molecule: transfer RNA, 84 nt
Filed under: Chroomonas placoidea
Lineage: Eukaryota; Cryptophyceae; Pyrenomonadales; Chroomonadaceae
Description: tRNA-Tyr
Rfam family: tRNA
About the family: Transfer RNA (tRNA) molecules are approximately 80 nucleotides in length.
Source: RNAcentral
GAAAAAGUAGCUAAGCUGGUCAAAAGCUAUAGAUUGUAAAUCUAUUGACAUAUGUCUUCGUAGGUUCGAAUCCUGCCUUUUUCU